Molecule: small nuclear RNA, 106 nt
Filed under: Vulpes vulpes (red fox)
Lineage: Eukaryota; Metazoa; Chordata; Mammalia; Carnivora; Canidae
Source: RNAcentral
GUGCUUGCUUUGGCAGCACAUAUACUAAAACUGGACUAAUACCAAGAAGAUUAGCAUUGCCCCUGCACAAGAUGACACACAAAUUUGUAAAAUUCAUUGAUAUUAA